RNAcentral lists this transfer RNA (64 nucleotides) under Euphausia superba (Antarctic krill). RNAcentral's name for it is "tRNA-Cys". The record is from RNAcentral. Lineage: Eukaryota; Metazoa; Arthropoda; Malacostraca; Euphausiacea; Euphausiidae.
GGCCUUGUAGUGGAAUUAAAGACGUCGUAUUGAAAUCUGAAGAUUCACGUUGUUGCUGAGGCUU